GAUGAACGCUGGCGGCGUGCCUAAUACAUGCAAGUCGAGCGAACGGACGAUAAGCUUGCUUCUCUGAUGUUAGCGGCGGACGGGUAAGUAACACGUGGAUAACCUACCUAUAAGACUGGGAUAACUUCGGGAAACCGGAGCUAAUACCGGAUAAUAUUUUGAACCGCAUGGUUCAAAAGUGAAAGACGGUCUUGCUGUCACUUAUAGAUGGAUCCGCGCUGCAUUAGCUAGUUGGUAAGGUAACGGCUUACCAAGGCAACGAUGCAUAGCCGACCUGAGAGGGUGAUCGGCCACACUGGAACUGAGACACGGUCCAGACUCCUACGGGAGGCAGCAGUAGGGAAUCUUCCGCAAUGGGCGAAAGCCUGACGGAGCAACGCCGCGUGAGUGAUGAAGGUCUUCGGAUCGUAAAACUCUGUUAUUAGGGAAGAACAUAUGUGUAAGUAACUGUGCACAUCUUGACGGUACCUAAUCAGAAAGCCACGGCUAACUACGUG
RNAcentral lists this ribosomal RNA (497 nucleotides) under uncultured bacterium. Its description in RNAcentral is "partial 16S ribosomal RNA". It matches the Rfam family "Bacterial small subunit ribosomal RNA", at positions 28 to 507 of the family's 1533-position model. The record is from RNAcentral.